UGGGGAAUUUUGGACAAUGGGCGCAAGCCUGAUCCAGCCAUGCCGCGUGCGGGAAGAAGGCCUUCGGGUUGUAAACCGCUUUUGUCAGGGAAGAAAUCUUCUGAGUUAAUACCUCGGGAGGAUGACGGUACCUGAAGAAUAAGCACCGGCUAACUACGUGCCAGCAGCCGCGGUAAUACGUAGGGUGCAAGCGUUAAUCGGAAUUACUGGGCGUAAAGCGUGCGCAGGCGGUUUUGUAAGACAGAGGUGAAAUCCCCGGGCUCAACCUGGGAACUGCUUUGUGACUGCAAGGCUUGAGUGCGGCAGAGGGGGAUGGAAUUCCGCGUGUAGCAGUGAAAUGCGUAGAUAUGCGGAGGAACACCGAUGGCGAAGGCAAUCCCCUGGGCCUGCACUGACGCUCAUGCACGAAAGCGUGGGGAGCAAACAGGAUUAGAUAGCCCUGGUAGUCCACGCCCUAAAACGAUGUCAACUGGUUGUUGGGAAGGUUCCUUCUCAGUAACGUAGCUAACGCGUGAAGUUGACCGCCUGGGGAGUACGGCCGC
Molecule: ribosomal RNA, 542 nt
Filed under: uncultured bacterium
Lineage: Bacteria
Description: partial 16S ribosomal RNA
Rfam family: Bacterial small subunit ribosomal RNA
Source: RNAcentral